Molecule: long non-coding RNA, 533 nt
Organism: Cyprinus carpio (common carp)
Lineage: Eukaryota; Metazoa; Chordata; Actinopteri; Cypriniformes; Cyprinidae
Exons: 6
Source: RefSeq, a predicted model, not a curated record
AGGCGGCAGCCCAACCAUCAAGCAGCUGAACGCUGACUCUCAAUGUGGUUUUCACUAUUGUUUUUUAGAAAUGGUUUAGUGUCGUCAGAAAAAGUCCGUUAGCAUCUCCACUGUAAGGCUAACUACAAGAGUAUGCUUAUGUUCCUAGGUUCUUCCAUGCUGAUGGCUGUGCUCUAGAGUCAUAUCUCCUGUCGAAGAACAUUUUUAGACAUUAUGAACCAUGAAAAAGUUUAGCUCCAACCCCAGUUAAGCAGAUCUGAGCAGCUGAUCAAGGAUCACCAGAAACUCUGCAGAACAUUGGUCCUCCAGCCCAGGACUGGACACCAGUGUUAGUGUCUGUCUCAGAAGCUGAAGAAAAGAGGCCACACCUCAGAGGAAAUAAGCGCCUCCUAAGUGUACGGAAAUACCUGGCUGAGAAGAUCAGUGACAUAAACCAGAUAAAACUGUCAGUGGUCUAAGACAGCUACAAUGAAGCCACAAAUGCAGUUCAUAGUUCCUGUAUUUCUAUAAUGCAUUAAUGAAUAACAAUAAUU